CUCCCGAGGAGACCGACGCCGCCACCCCGAUCUCUCCCGAGGAGACCAGCGCCGCCGCCCCGGUCUCUCCUCACCGCCGCCUGAGUUGUUCCCGCCACCGGCCGAUCUGACGCUUCCACCGCCUCCUCCAGUUAUCCCCUCCACGGGCAGAGCUCCUACCCCAACUCCAAGCAGAGCCCGCAGCUCCUAGGCUGAUCUCGACGGUGAAGUAUCGUCGCCGCCGUAGCUUGCCAAGUUCUUCCAGUGCUCGGACACGAGGUUGAGGACGCGAAGAAUUAGGUUAUGGAUCCAGCAGAUUGUAUUGCUGUCCGUUUUCAUUUCAAUGGGGAAUUUAUCAAUGACGGGAAGACAGUACAAUAUGUGGGGGGCAAAGAAGCAAUGUCCUUUUUAGAUCGAGCAAUCUUGAGCUUACAGAGAAUUCAACAAUGUUUGAGUGAGCAUUAUGUCACAGUGGACGGACAACAAUUGCACUGGCUCUUCCCUGGGAAGGAUUUAUUUGAUGGGUUGUUGAUGCUGUCUGAGGACAAGUCUGUUGAAACACUGUCAGCAUGUACAACAGAUGCAGGUGUGGCUGAUGUGUAUGUCGAGGAUCCAGCCAUGCAAGAUGAAGAAGUUAGUGAGGAAGAAGAUUGGGCUGAAGACGAGUAUGUAGCUACUGCUGAUGAGAAGAAGUCCGCAAAGGAAAAGCCAAUUGAUGUAGAAAGCAGCUCCGAUGAUAGUGACUUUGUGCCACCAGAUUGUUCAUCAGAUGACGAUGAGGCAGAUGCUAUUAGGCAAGAUUACAAGAAAUUCAAAAAGAGCAAGAAGAUGGCAGCUGAAAAACUUGCACUUGAGUAUGAGUUUGAAGCAUUGAAUGUAGUUAAACCUGAAGGCAAUUAUGAAGAUGACUCAAGUGCCGAAGAGGAUGAAUCUUAUGACGAGGAUAGUGAUGGUGAACUUAUCAAGCGUGAGUCUGAAUAUGCUAGGUUUAAUAGUAAAGCAGAAGUGAUCAAGUUCACCUUGGGUAUGACAUUUAGUGGGAAGAAGGAGUUCAAAGAUGCAAUCAUUCGUUAUGCACUGAAGGAAAGAAAAGAAAUCAAGUUCUUAAAAGAUGAGGGAGUCAGAGUAAGGGCAAAGUGCACAUGGCCUCAUUGUCCUUGGGUGUGUUUGUUGAGGAAAACAUCAAAGUUUGAAAGUUGGCAGAUUACUUCAUUUACUGAGGAACACACUUGUCCAAAAAGGAAAGAUAGUGCACUAGUUACAAGUAGACGGAUUGCAGAAAAGUUUGAGAGUUCGAUAAUGUCAAGUCCAGAAUGGUCAAUCCAGCAAUUAAAGUCAACCAUACAGGAAAAAAUGUUUGCAAAUGUGUCAAUAUCCAAAAUCAAGAGAGCAAAAGCACUUGUCAUUGGAAAAAUGCUUGCGGCUAAAGAGGGAGAGUACAACCAAGUGUUUGAUUACCAACUUGAGUUACUUAGAAGCAACCCUGGGACUACUUGUGUGGUCAAGCUUCACCCAGAUUUUGAAGAACCAACAUUCCACCACUUUUAUGUGUGCUUUGAUGCUUGUAAGAAGGGCUUCUUUGCAAAAAGGAAUAUUGAAUGUUGUUCACCACUGGGCUCCAAUGGCAGAGCAUAGGAAUUGUGCUAGGCACAUAUAUGCUAACUGGAGGAAAAAAUAUAGGGAAAAGGACUGGCAAAAGCUAUUCUGGGCUUGUGCAAAAGCACCUUGCACAAUGUUGUUCAAUCUUGCAAGGGCCAAGUUAGCACAAUGCACACCUGAUGGAGCAAGGGAUGUUAUGAACACAGACCCACAACACUGGAGCAGGGCUUGGUUCAGGUUAGGAAGCUGUUGUGAUUCUGUGGACAACAACAUUUCUGAAACUUUUAACAAAUGGAUAGUUGAGGCUAGAUUAUAUCCUGUGAUAACAAUGUUCGAAACAAUUAGGCAGCAAAUUAUGAUCAGGAUACAAGAAAUGAGAAGUGAGAUGGAAAGUUGGACUGGCAUCAUCUGUCCAAAAGUACUGAAGAAGCUACAGAAAAGCAUAGAUUAUUCUGCUUAUUGUCAUGCAAUUUUUAAUGGCAAUGAUGCUUAUGAAGUGAAGACAAGAGUACAUAGGUACACUGUCAGAUUGUAUGACAGGACAUGUAGUUGUAGGUAUUGGCAGUUGUCAGGCCUUCCUUGCUCUCAUGCCAUCAGCUGCAUACACUGCACUACAAACAAAUUGGAUGAUUACAUUGCUGAUUGCUACAGAGUGGAUAAUUUCAAAAAAACUUAUGCUUAUUGUCUGCAAGCUCUUGAGGGAAGAGCUGCAUGGCCUGUGUCUCAGAGACCAAAACCAAAAGCACCUAGGCACAUCAAUAUGCCUGGUAGGAAAAAGAAGUGUAGAACAAGAGAAGAGGAAGAAAAACCAAAGACUAGCAAAGUUAGCAAGGUUGGCACAGUGAUCAAGCGUAGCUUGUGCAAGCAUAGUGGACACAACAAAACAACUUGCAAACAAAGAAAUGGAGUGCCUAGUGCUAGUGCUCCAUCUGCUUCUGCUCCUAGUGGUACUGCUCCACUUUCUGCUACUCCUAGUGCUCCUAGGGGAAGUGCUCGUCCACCAAGUGAAGCACCUGUUCUGAGUUCACAACAAAGCACUUCACACAAAAGAAGGGCCACCGAGGAGAUGGCACCACCAAGACAAGCAAAGAGAAGGGCGCCAACUAAUAACAACAGUAGGUCAAAUAAUUUCUCUGGAAAUACCUUCAAUGUACAUGGAAGCUCGAAUGUCAAUGUCAAUGUUUGCACUGGUACUUCUCGCGCGACAACUAGCAGCAAAGUUACCAAAGAGAGGUGCAGUAGCAAUGGUAGUAACAAAGGCAAGGGGACUGGCAAGGCCAAAUAUGCUCGGUUUCGAAGCUUGCUGGGAUUUGAAAAUUGAGAGUUAUUUGUGUGCUUGUGAGAUUUGGGUGUCGAUCAGACCUAUCUAUGUGAGACCUAUGUGUCAGACCUAUUUGUGAGACCUUUGUGUGUAUCAGACCUAUCUAUAUGUAUGUGAGACCUAUGUAUGUGUGUUUCAGACCUAUAUAUAUGUAUGUGUGAC
This 3061-nucleotide ribosomal RNA is filed under the name Triticum aestivum (bread wheat). RNAcentral's name for it is "partial small subunit ribosomal RNA". Lineage: Eukaryota; Viridiplantae; Streptophyta; Magnoliopsida; Poales; Poaceae. The record is from RNAcentral.